Molecule: long non-coding RNA, 562 nt
Filed under: Mus pahari (shrew mouse)
Lineage: Eukaryota; Metazoa; Chordata; Mammalia; Rodentia; Muridae
Description: lncRNA (MGP_PahariEiJ_G0002703.1)
Source: RNAcentral
GAGGGCAGUGUUUGGUGUCAAAUGAGCCUUGAAGACUCUCUGAGUUCCUCUUCACAUCAACCGGUAGAGAUAGAUCAAUUCAAUUCUCUUAACCACAUGGCAGGACAUGAGACUGUGGCAUGCCCACCAAAUACAUACAGGGACUACAAGGAGAAAUCAGACAAGCCUAAGCACAGGGCACAUCCCAGAAGACAUCUAAGGAGAGAAGCAGAAUUAUGAAGCGCAUCCCUCCCCAAACUCAAACUCCAAGGAAGACGUCCAACCUGUCAUCCCAUGCCCCUUUCUAGCACCCCAUCACGAAGACAUGCCUUCACUUCUCGGACUUACGUUUUCCAUCCUCUGGACACGGUUUUCCAGCCCUACGAUUUGCCUGUGUUUUUCCUCCAAUUUUUCUGAAAGUAGAUUCAGACAUUCGGCACUUCCCUUUAAUGCCUCCUCUUUCUCAAGGUUGUUGACCUGUGGUCAGAAAAACAGUUGCUAGACUUUUGUUUUGACUAUCUAUCUAAAACAAAACUGCAAUGUCUUGUAUAUCCAAUUAAAAAGUGUUUUCUUAUCAGAAAAU